AAUAAUGAUGAAAAAAUGGUCGCUUAUCAAUGCUUCAGAUCUAUCUGUGAUGGAAACAAAUAAAUUAACCAUUCAGAACCGCUACACUGAUU
This 92-nucleotide small nucleolar RNA is filed under the name Torulaspora delbrueckii CBS 1146. Its description in RNAcentral is "Small nucleolar RNA snR50". It matches the Rfam family "Small nucleolar RNA snR50". The record is from Rfam by way of RNAcentral. Lineage: Eukaryota; Fungi; Ascomycota; Saccharomycetes; Saccharomycetales; Saccharomycetaceae.